RNAcentral lists this long non-coding RNA (1054 nucleotides) under Solanum tuberosum (potato). Its description in RNAcentral is "long non-coding RNA (STUB_LNC008335)". Lineage: Eukaryota; Viridiplantae; Streptophyta; Magnoliopsida; Solanales; Solanaceae. The record is from RNAcentral.
UAAUUAAUUUUUCCAGUUGAGUUUCACAGUACUAUCAUGUUCAAUUCAUCUUGAUUUAUUAUUCCAUGGAGCUCCAACUUCAUACACCUUUUUAUGUGGAUUCGUUUCUUCUCUGUAUUCGACUUCUUCUUUUUUUACAGAAUAUUGAAGCUCUAAUGAUGGAUUAUUAUUCUCUACCAGGAUGUCUCUCGAGCUCGCUUGACGGGUUGAUUAAUCUGUUGGCGUUCUACAAUUUACGGUGAGCUUGAAUAAUAUUUCUUUAAUGUUUUCUUUUCUGAAGUCAUCUAAAACUAAUGUAUUGAAAUGGGAAGAAUUUGAUGCAACUAACGUAUUUGAAAAUACGCCUACAAGAAGUGUUUUUGACGCAACUAACGUAUUUGACAAUACGCCUUAAAGAAGUGUAAAACAAGUUUAUAGCUAAAAUUUGUACAAUUUCCUCCUCAAGUCUUUUUGUAUGACUUUUGUGGUGGUAAAACUGAAAAUAUUUCAGGCAUGAUUACGUUAACAAGAUGAAUUGUUGAAGGUGUAAGAUCUGUGUGAGGCUCAUAAGAAAAUUCAUUUGCUCAAGUUGCAAUUACAACCUGAGCAUGUUAAUUAAUUAGCGCCUCUGUUGUGCAACUUAAUUUGUAGGUCCAAUGUUGUAUGUUUGUGAGAACUCUAAGCUUCUGCUAUAAGAAAGUAUUUCAAUUUGUUAAUUUCAGUACCGAUGCGGACAUUUGCAUUUACUUUGAGCGGAAAGAAAAGUCAUUGCAAAGAUGAGAUAUUUUGAAUUAUACUCUUUCAAACAACUUGAUCUCCUAAUUUAAAAUAGGAAAGAAUCUAAUAAUUUUGUAUUGAUGUGAAUUAUGGCCUUACAGGUUCUUGAACAAGCAGAGAUGAUUGAGCUUUUGCUGUGGUUUAACCAUAUCAACUCCUUUUAUGCAACUUGCAAUACCCGUUAUGUUUCUUAAUGAGACAUGAUGACUUGAUUGUUGAGUGCAGGCACUUGAUGGCAAAGCUGCAAGUCACGAAGAUGGAGCAUGUUUUCCGUGAACAAAACAGAGUAGCCGACAGA